UGCCUUAGUAACGGCGAGUGAAGCGGCAACAGCUCAGAUUUGAAAUCUGGCUCCUUCGGAGCCCGAGUUGUAAUCUGCAGGGGAUGCUUCCGCGGCGGACCCGGCCUAAGUUCCUUGGAACAGGACGUCAUAGAGGGUGAGAAUCCCGUAUGCGGCCGGUGGACGUCUCUUCGGUGAAGCUCCUCCGACGAGUCGAGUUGUUUGGGAAUGCAGCUCUAAAUGGGAGGUAAAUUUCUUCUAAGGCUAAAUACCGGCCAGAGACCGAUAGCGCACAAGUAGAGUGAUCGAAAGAUGAAAAGCACUUUGGAAAGAGAGUUAAAGAGUACGUGAAAUUGUUGAAAGGGAAGCGCUUGCAACCAGACUUGGCCGUAGUUGUUCAACCGUCUUCGUGGGCGGCUCACUCUUCUGCGGCCAGGCCAGCAUCGGUUCGGGCGGCCGGAAAAAGGUCCCGGGAACGUAGCUCCCCUCGGGGAGUGUUAUAGCCUAGGACGAAAUACGGCCUGCUCGGACCGAGGACCGCGCUUCGGCUAGGAUGCUGGCGUAAUGGUUGUAAGCGGCCCGUCUUGAAACACGGACCAAGGAGUCUAACAUCUAUGCGAGUGUUCGGGUGUCAAACCC
Molecule: ribosomal RNA, 618 nt
Filed under: uncultured fungus
Lineage: Eukaryota; Fungi
Description: eukaryotic LSU rRNA
Rfam family: Eukaryotic large subunit ribosomal RNA
Source: RNAcentral